AGUGAACGCUGGCGGUAGGCCUAACACAUGCAAGUCGAACGGCAGCACAGUAAGAGCUUGCUCUUACGGGUGGCGAGUGGCGGACGGGUGAGGAAUACAUCGGAAUCUACUUUUUCGUGGGGGAUAACGUAGGGAAACUUACGCUAAUACCGCAUACGACCUACGGGUGAAAGCAGGGGAUCUUCGUACCUUGCGCGAUUGAAUGAGCCGAUGUCGGAUUAGCUAGUUGGCGGGGUAAAGGCCCACCAAGGCGACGAUCCGUAGCUGGUCUGAGAGGAUGAUCAGCCACACUGGAACUGGGACACGGUCCAGACUACUAAGGGAGGCAGCAGUGGGGAAUAUUGGACAAUGGGCGCAAGCAUGAUCCAGCCAGACCGAGUGGGUGAAGAAGGCGUUCGGGUUGUAAAGCCCUUUUGUUGGGAAAGAAAAGCAGCAGGUUAAUACCCCGCUGUUCUGACGGUACCCAAAGAAUAAGCACCGGCUAACUUCGUG
RNAcentral lists this ribosomal RNA (492 nucleotides) under uncultured bacterium. RNAcentral's name for it is "partial 16S ribosomal RNA". It matches the Rfam family "Bacterial small subunit ribosomal RNA", at positions 29 to 507 of the family's 1533-position model. The record is from RNAcentral.